CAUAAUAAUUGCUAUGCAAUCAAUAUUUUGCAUGGUUGAAUCCUACCAAAAAUGAGAACUAGGUGGCUAGUGAGCCCUUGGAUGACCGAAUGCUCAAAUCAUCCCAUGAUUAUAAUGAUGAUGACAAUCAUAGUUUCAGCAAUGAUGCAUCUAAUACCUUAGGAGGUAUUGGUGGAUAUGGUAUAACUACAUAUGACCCAC
RNAcentral lists this long non-coding RNA (201 nucleotides) under Elaeis guineensis (African oil palm). RNAcentral describes it as "long non-coding RNA (EGUI_LNC052503)". The record is from RNAcentral. Lineage: Eukaryota; Viridiplantae; Streptophyta; Magnoliopsida; Arecales; Arecaceae.